AAAAUGCUUUUGGGUCAGAUACUUAGAAGGAGGCUGACGGUUCUCAGAAAGAUUUAAUGUUGCAUAGCCUUUGAUCCAUUUGGGGGCCGAAUUAUUUUAGUGCUCUUCUCAAAGCUGAACCCCAGUAAAUAGUAAUGCAGUGCAAUUUAAUUUUCCUCAAAACUAGAAUGGCAUAGGAGUGCAAGACAUUUUGAGGAGGGUUCCCCCCCCCUUUGGAAUCGCCUCGUGUAGUUUUACACCCCGUCCUUUGACUGUAGACAGUACUUUUCUGCUUCCUCACGGUGAUUUUCCUACCAAAUAAUAUUCAUCUAUCCAUUAUAUAACCAUCCGUCAUUUUUUAAAAGUUACAAAACGGUAUAAAGAACUUAUCUUGAAAGGAUUUCUGAUGAAUUUUUUGAUGUGUCCUCAAAGUGAGAAACAUCAAAAUUGGAGCAAAGAAAACAUCCAUAUUGAGCAAAUAUUAUGUGUUUUUUUUUUUAAACACAUUCAUUAGCCUACAUUGUUUCCAGUGUGGAUCUUCAGUGGCCUGUAAUAAAAACACCUGGAAAUGAUUAACAUAAAAAGACACUGAAAGGCUAGCAGGAAAUUAGGCUUGCCCACCAUGUGCAUGGCCCUAGAUUCAAUCCCCAGCUCCACAAAAUUAAAUAUGUAAAUAAAGGAUCAAAAAUUGGAGAAAGAGGACAGUUUUGCCCCAAGGUGUUUGUGUGUGUGUGUGUGUGUGUGUGCGUGCGUGUGUGCGCUGUACUGAGCCUCCAGCCUAGGGCCUCAUCAGUGUCAGGCCAGCACUUGACCACUGAACUACAUCCUCAGCCCGUUGCCCUAAGUUCAUAACAAAAUUCUUGAGAGUUUUGCACUAAGUUCUUAAAUGAGGCAAAGAAUUAAGAUCUGCUGUACUAGUAGCCAAAUCCAAAACUAAAAUAUGGAGACCACUAUAAUUAUUAUUCUGUAAUAGGAAGUGUUCCACUUGCUCAGGAGAGGGACCAUUUCCCCCUAAUUCCCAGGAGAAUUUAUCACUUGGGUCUUUAUAUAAAAAGGAUUGAGCAAUAUAGCAAAUAAUUUUCUCUAUGGUAAUUAUUAAAAAUGUAUAGUUACAUGUGGCUAUUUUACUGCUCUAUAAAAAAAAUGCUGAAGGUAUAAUAUGGUAAUUUGGUAACAGUUACUCUGUAGUUGAUAAGGACAGUUAGCUGAUUUGACAUUAGGCUUUGAGUUGAGAAUCCCUAGAAAUUGUUAACAUAUAGUAGAGCAUUUCUUUUGAAUAACAGUAGUUGCCUAAAGGCCCUUGACAGUUAUCUGUGUGAUAGAGAUCUUUUAAAAUCCUUGUAGAGAUUUACUAGAUAUCCAGUGAAGCCCAUCAACAAAAGCCUCAUCAAAAGGCAGAAGUGUCACAAUGCAUUAUUUACAGGAGUUAUGUUUUCCUGCUUCCUGGACUUGUUGCCUUCAGACAGGGCAUAAUUCAUUCAGUAAAAGGUCAUUCUUUCAAAGUACUAAUCUUCAAGGCUGUGGUAGCCAGGCAAAAGAGAGAGACCUAGAUUCAGCUGCAAAACAGUGACUGGGGGCAAGUAAAUUGUCACUACUCUCUCCAGAUGGCAUCACUCAAGUCUCUGGGUGGGAGCCUUCUGAAUGCAAACCUAAUAAAAGUAUAAAGAACAUUCUUGAGAAUGGAAGAGAAAGUGUGUGGAAGAAGACUGGUGAGAUAUAAAGGAGGGGUAUUCUUAUUACACUGGAAAUAGAUGAGGAAUGACAGCAGGCAUUCAGAGGAGGAGAAAUUGAAAAUGAAGGGUGGAGAAAGAAUGAACUGCCUUUAAAAAGGACCAAGAGGCUGGGGGAUGGAACUCAGUGGUAGAUUAUGUGCUUAGCAUGCCCAAGGCCCAGGGUUUGAUCCCCAGCACCAAAAAAAAAAAAAAAGAGGUUUAAGAAAGAUGUCAUGACUAGGAAUUUUUGAGAUAGACCGCCCCCAUUGCCAAGAAGGACUGCUCUCCCAAAAUACAUUUGUGAAACUUUAAGGCUAUAACCCUGUUGUUUUUUUAUAAUCUCAGUCUUUGGAGCAGUGGUUCUUAGCUGGAGUUGAUUUUGCCCCCAGGUGACAUCUGGCAAUGUGAAGAGACUUUGUUGUCACACUGAGAGACAAGAAGGCUGCUAAACAUUCUGCAAUGUACAGGCAUUAUUGUGCACCCCACAACAACAACAAAAAACUGGUCCAAAACCUCAAAAGCGCUAAGAAACGAUUUUAGAGUGACUAGUGUCUUGUGUUUCUGGCUAAUGGUUUUCUAAGUUUAUAUGUAUCAGAAUAACAUGGAGUUUUUAGAAGUACAACCCACAAAAUCAGAACGUCUGGAUAAAAUGAGGCCCAGUCAUUUGAUACUGUUGAAAGCUUCAAAGGAGACUCAGGUGCUACAUGCAUGAUGGAGAGAGACAGAUUUGGAAAGAUAAAUGGAGGCCUGCAUUUUCAAUAUUUUAACUUAGAAUAAUGAGUAAAAUAGAGAUUGCUUUGAGUUGUUUGAAAAGUGUCAUGCAUAUGCUGAGUCCCAAUAGUUUAUAACAGCGUUACUAUAUAUUCCACUGUUAUUUUUUGUUUUGAAAUUCCAACUGCUUAUUUUUUAGCACUUAGAUUUCAUAAUAUAGUAUUACAUCAUUAAAUUGUACCCUUCAAAUUUACGUUAAAAUAUCCCAGGACUAUGAGCUAAUACUUUAACAUGAAAGUCCUCCUUACUUGGAGGAUCUAAGGAAGAUCUAAUAAAAUUCUGUUUUAACUCCUAGUGUUAGACUUUGCUCAGAAAGAAAAAAGAAGGAAAAAAAAAAAAAACCUGGUUGUCCUUGAAUAAUGGUGGAGGGAUCAGGAAAAUGCAUGAAUUUGAGUUGGCUCAGCCAUAAUAGAACAGAAAUUUACAUUUCCAGAACCUCUUUUAUCCAGGUAUCACAGAGUUCUUAAAACGUCUCUCUCUCUCUCUCUCUCUCUUUUUUUUUUUUUUUUUUUCAGUAAAAGCUCUGAGAGGUGUAGGCUGGUUAUCUCUUUUCCAAUGGAAGAACUGAAACUAGAACAAUAAACUAAUUAGCCUAGUCUGAUCUGGCAAGAGCAACACUCCAUAUUGUAAUUGUUGAAACAAUUCCUUUCCAUGAACAAACUUGUAGAACAAUUCUAGGUUUUAGAAUUGCUUGUAACUGGGCACGGGUGGCCCAUGCAUGUAAUCCCAGUUGCUCAGGAGACUGAGGUAGGAGGAUUUCCAGUUCAAAGCCAGCCUCAGGAAAAGCCAGGUGUCUUCUAAAUAAAAUACAAAAUGGGGCUGGGGGUGUGGCUUAGUGAUCGAGAGCCCCUGAGUUCAAUCUCUGGUACCAAUAAAAAAGCUUGUUAUGAGUUAGUAAUUCCAGAAGAAACAUGCCUUUUCUGAUUUUAGAUUUUUCAAAGCUGAAGUGACAUAAAAGAAGUUGGUAGCUGUUAGCUUAUGUGUGCUGAAACAUAUGAAACUCCAGUUUGCAUCUCUAAGGUUAAAACAGUCCCAGGCCCCCAAGACAGUGAAGUGUUUUGGCCUGUGGCAAGGGUUCCUGGCAUUGCACAUAGGUUCCUCACAUUCCUGGCUCUAUCACUCUUUUUUUACACAGUCUUUCACUCUUAGCUUCAGUUUCCUCUCAGUGUAAUGAAUAAUAACAAAUUCUCAGGUUUUGCAAACUUAUUUUUAAAGGCAUGUGAACUAGUAAAUACCAACUAUUAAAUUUUAAGGACACUCACAAAUUCUUAGGAGGGGUAACAUUGUACUCUAGUGACCUUUUCUUAGUGAUUUGCACUAUUGUGGUUUAAGUUUUAAUUUAAUUCUUAGUGCUUAGAGUGCACUUAGAAUGUAGAUUUCUCGACAGAAAUUAACCACAUUUGUUUAUAAAGAAAAAUAAUAUUUCUGUAUAUUAAUAUUUUUCAUUUCAACUAAAGGUAUUUUUCAAAGCACAGUGUUCUAUGGGCAGAGAAUAUGUUAUUGAACUUAGGCAGUUAUUUGCAAACUACCGUGCCUUAGAAUCACCUGGACAGCUUAAUAAAAAGCAGAUUGCUGGGUGCUACCCUAAGAUUUUGAUUCAGUGGGUUUGGUCAGGAGCCCAUGAAUGUGCAUUUCUAACAAGUUUCCAGGUGGUGCUGCUGCUGCUGCUGAGCUGUGAAUCAUACUUAGAGACUCACUGAACUAAAGGGACUAUGAAAAUUGCUGCAAUUACCUUAGCAUGUGAAAGGAUCAAGUUUUCAGUUUUUGUAUGACUUAAGAAUUUGUUAACAACCUUUUUUCUUUAAUGAGUGCAUGUUAAACCAAAAUUAAACAGUACUUAAUUUUUAGUGAUUAUGGAAAUGGAUAUUAAAAAUAAAAUAUUGGGGGUCUGGGGAUAUAGAUCAGUUGGUAGAGUGCUUACCUACCAUGUACAAGGCCCUGGGUUCAAUCCCCAGCACCACCAAAAACAAAACAAAACACAAAAAAUAUUGGGGGUUUAAAUAGAAUUCUGAAAUUAAGCCACAUAAGUAACAAAAGUACAUUUUUAAGUUCAGAAUUAAAAUAGUCUGAUUACUAGUUAAACAAAAGAAACUUACGUGCAUUUUAUUCAUAACCAUUAUUCUCAGGGGCCUGGUUCUUGCAUUUGGAGAAAUUGAAAAGAAAUGAGAAGACUGAUGUGGAAGGAACCUUAUUUGUGUACACAAGGUCUGCUUCUCCAAAGCAUGGAUUCACCAUUAUGAAUAGGCUGAGCAUGGAAAAUAGAACAGAACCCAUUACUAAAGACCUGGAUUUCCAACUCCAGGACCCUUUCCUCCUCUACAGAAAUGCCAGAUUGUCCAUUUAUGGAAUUUGGUUUUACGAUAAGGAAGAAUGCCAAAGAAUUGCAGAGCUUAUGAAAAACCUAACUCAGUAUGAACAGUUGAAAGCCCAUCAGGAAGCUGCAGCAGGAAUUUCCCCAGUGAUGCCCAAUUCUGGAGAGGGCAAAGAAGUAGAUAUCUUACGAAUGCUUACCAAAGCCAAAGAUGAAUACACAAAGUAUAAAACCUGUUCUGAGCCAAAACAGAUAAGGAGUUCAUCUGCCAUCUAUGAUAACCCUAAUCUCAUCAAACCAAUCCCAGUAAAACCCAGUGACAACCAGCAGCAGCUCAUACCUCAGCCCAGCCAGACCUUAGACCCUGAACCCCAACACUUAUCCUUGACAGCUCUGUUUGGGAAGCAGGACAAAGCUAUCUGUCCAGAAACUGUAGCACUCCCCCAAACUCCCCAGCAACAACAGCAGCAGCAGCAGCAGCAACAGCAGCAGCAGCAGCAAGAGAAAUUUCCAGUUAGGCAGGGAGUUGUACGCUCCCUGUCCUAUGAGGAGCCCAGAAGGCAGUCACCUCUCAUGGAGAAGCAGCUUUGUCCAGCCAUUCAAAAACUCAUGAUCAGAAACACGGACCUGCACCCACUGUCAGAGCUGCCUGAACAGAGGCCCUGUGAGAAUGGAAGCUCCUAUUCUGCCAGGGAAAUUAUUCCUGGACCUCUCCAGCCAGGGUCUCCCCAUAACGUCAGGACUUCACAUGCUGGGCACAGCACUUCCAGAACGCACAACCUGUUAGAGAAGCUCCAGAGUACCCCAGGGGCAGUGAACACGUAUGACCUUAGUACACCAGGCCCUGUGAGCCCAGCUGCCCCCAACAGCAGCAGAACCUUCUCUGCUGCCACUCCUGUGACUCCAGCCAAGGAUCUGGCCCAGCCACAAAUGGUGUAUUUCAAUGGCUCCCUUCCACCUCAGAUGCUAGGACAUCAGGCUCAUGGAAAGGGACAGUCCACCCUGCCAAGACAAAUGCUCCCUGUCUCUGACAGUCAGACGAGCAGCCCUGGAGUGAUCUCCCCCAAGGAGUUACUGAGAAAGCUCCAGGUUGUACAACAGGAGCAGCAGCUACAGACCUCUCACCGUCCAGCCUUGGCAGCCAAGUUCCCUGUGGUGACCCAGAGUUCUAGGACAGGCAAACCCUUGGAGCCAUGGAUCAACAGGACAUCCAGCACAGAGAAGCAUGCUCCUCUUUUGCAGGUCAUCUCACCUCAGCGCACUCCUGCUACAGUGGCUCCUUCUCUGCUCAUGUCCCCCAUGGUGUUCACAAAAGCCUCCUCCGGCACCCCACCGAGGGAGAGGGAUAAUGGGCUCUUAUUCCUGGGAGGCCAGAAAUCGCCUGCUGCCCCUACCAGCCUCCUCCUGCCCCUGCAGAACCCGGAGCCCUCUGUGGUAGCUGGCAGCCCACUCACCAGGCUGCAGCUCCAAGAAGCACUGCUAUAUCUGGUUCAGCCUGGCAAAAGAAUCCAGAGACUUAUCAGUCUAACUGCUGCCCACUUGCCAAGGCCAGAAGUUUUCCACCACUCAUGGGAAGAUUUAUUUUGGCUUUGAAUGACGACAACUUCUUAAAUAUAAUCUAUGAAGCCUAUCUCUUCAGCAUGACACAAGCAGCCCUGAAAAAGACUAUGUGAAAGCAAAUCAUUUUAAAACUGAUUUCCAAGGUCCUUCUAGAAUUCCAGCACAAGGUUCUUUUGUGUGAAGUGGUAUAAACUAAAAUGUUUCUGCCUUUUUUAAAAAACAGGAUUCUGCUUUCUUCUCUUGAAUGAUAAAGAUGCAAAUCAGAGAAGAAAGAAAUCCCCCUAAAGAAAUCCCAGCUAUUGAAUACACCAGCUCUCUUCCAUUCUCUUGGGUGUUACAGAGAAAACCAACAGUUCCUAACCAUGAAAUCCUAUUUCCCUGAGAAAUCAGCUUGCUUCCCAGCUUUGGAACGUCAAGUCAUCUUUAAGGUUAAAUUUAUCAUUUGCAGCCAGCAGGUUGUAGCAACGCUUCGUCAUGUCAAGUUGGCUGGCUGCACAUAUUGGUGUCUCUGAUUCAAGGCAGAACAUUCUUGUAUCUGCACAGGGAGCCAGGACCAGGGUCACCCGAGAAGACCUGGGGCCAAGGCCUAGGGAUGUGAGCUUCCACAAACUCCCCAGGUAGGUGUAUGGGAAAAGGCAACCCUUCCCCAGGACACUCAUAUUACUUUCAGUAUUUUCAGAACACCUCGCUUCUGACACCAGAUGUGGGUGGUUUUCCACACCCAUCAUUUCUACUUUCGGGACACCAACAGAGAGCACGCUGCUAUUUAAUUAUGACGCCGACUAUCUGGAGUGACGCAGACCCAGUCCUACAGAGACUGCCCCACCUCAGAUGCCAAUCAUAAGCAGUGGGCCCUCAGGUUACCUACACUUCCACACUUCUGUCUGACCUGGCUACAAAUCAGAGAUUCCUAUGACCAUUUCUUUGGGUUCCAUAAUUUUCCACGACACCUUCUGGAACUCAGGAAAACACAUGUGCUAUGAGAAAGGACGUAGAUGGACACUUAACACAGAGGUACAUAGAGUGAAAUUUGGGAGGGUCCCAAACUUAGGAGCUUUUAUCUGCAUGGGAUCGGGGCCCACCACCCUCCUGGGCACAUGGAUGUAUUCACUAACCUAGAAGCUCUUCGAACCUUGUACUUAGGAAUUUUUAUGGAAACUUCAUCCCAUGGGCAUAAUGGAUCAUGAACUCAAUCUUCAGCCCCUCCCUCUUUGCUCCCUGAGGAUGGGGGAUGGGGCUGGACGUUUCAAGCUCCCACUCCUGGCUUGGUCUUCCUGUGACUUUCCAGGACCCCACUAACAGUUGCCUUAUUGCCACAGAAGAUGCUCCCAGGGAAUUCCAAGGCAUCUGUGAGAUCUGUGGCAGGACCUGAGGUCAGAGGCAACAUCAGAACAAAUGAUGCUC
RNA transcript from Marmota monax (woodchuck), 7737 nucleotides. It is a transcript of the gene named decapping mRNA 1B, with no coding region annotated. The transcript has 13 exons. The record is from RefSeq and is a predicted model, not a curated record. NCBI's taxonomy places the organism in Eukaryota, Metazoa, Chordata, Mammalia, Rodentia, Sciuridae.